GACGAACGCUGGCGGCGCGCUUAACACAUGCAAGUCGAACGGAAAGGCCUGCUUUCCCUUGUGGAUUGCGGGUACUCGAGUGGCGAACGGGUGAGUAACACGUGAGUGAUCUGCCCCCAACUUGGGUAUAAGCCUGGGAAACUGGGUCUAAUUCCCGAUAGGACUGCAGGGUGGUGCCUGUGGUGGAAAACGAUUUUCUAGUGGUUGGGGAUGAGCUCGCGGCCUAUCAGCUUGUUGGUGGGGUAAUGGCCUACCAAGGCGGCGACGGGUAGCCGGCCUGAGAGGGUGGACGGCCACAUUGGGACUGAGAUACGGCCCAGACUCCUACGGGAGGCAGCAGUGGGGAAGAUUGCACAAUGGGCGGAAGCCUGAUGCAGCGACGCCGCGUGGGGGAUGACGGCCUUCGGGUUGUAAACUCCUUUCGACCGCGAGGAAGCCACCUGGUUGGAAGGGUGGUGACGGUAGUGGUAGAAGAAACACCGGCUAACUACGU
Molecule: ribosomal RNA, 493 nt
Filed under: uncultured bacterium
Lineage: Bacteria
Description: partial 16S ribosomal RNA
Rfam family: Bacterial small subunit ribosomal RNA
Source: RNAcentral